Non-coding RNA from Cyanistes caeruleus (blue tit), 4501 nucleotides. The record is from RefSeq and is a predicted model, not a curated record. NCBI's taxonomy places the organism in Eukaryota, Metazoa, Chordata, Aves, Passeriformes, Paridae.
AAAAGAAAGGUGAUUACUAGAAGGUAAGAAUUGUAUAAAUGCUGGAAAGUACCUUAAGUCAGUGACCUUCGGUUGACCUCCUCCACUGCUGGUGUGAGCCCUGAUAUUUUUUUUUCAGAGCUAAGUUAGCACCUCUGCCAUCCUUUCCUUUGAUCAAAUCUUACUCAAUUUCAUACCAAGUUGCUGAUUUGUAAGCAAAAUCCAAAUAUAGGAAUAAUUAAAAGAAUGAGCUCUUGUAAAUCUGAAGAGAGUGCAUCAGGAUACAAUAAAACACAAGUGUUUCCUGGGACUUGCUUGACCAUUAAAAAUUUGCAGUUUAUAUUGCAUAAUACAAUUUUCUGACUGUUUUUUGAUAGCAGCUAUUUCUAAAUAGGCAAAUCAGCUGUCAUUGCAACACUUGGCUUUUCCCAGACCAGACCCAUUGAUCGGAAUGAAAAAGACAGUGCAAACUUGAGUUUGUUGGUUGUUUUCUGAGAUUUCAAAGGGACUUCAUAUUCUAAAGCAUGUAAUUUCUUUUUUCAGUCUCAUCUACUAGCUCCUUGUCAUCCUUCAUUCUCCCUCGUCUGACAUCAGUUUCUCUCUUGUCCAUUUAAAACUGAAACUUGAAAAACUGCAGUUUUAUACUUUGUAUUAUUCUUCUACCCCAGAGCUGUUUUUAGUGUCUUUAUUGCAAGUAGACAGAUGGUGAUAUUUGGUUUCCUGUCAGUUUUAAUGAAUAUAGAUAGGAGUGAUAAGAACAUUUGCUUCGUUUAGCAAACUUCCUUUUCUGGCUUUUAAUUAAUGAAGUGCUCACUGGUGUGCCGCUGCUUUUGUAUGUGCUACAGUAAAAUCUCUUCUACAACUCAACUCGUAGUGUCGGAUAAUGAGAAAAGAGGAUGAAAAUAACUUUUUCUCUCCAGAUCCUUUAAAGUUUACUUACCCAGACUUGGAACACUGCAGACAUCAGCCAUGGAACUGCUCGUACGAGCUGCUGUAGCAGCAUCCUUUGUAGCUGCGUAGUUUGGUAAUAUUUUGUUUUGAUACCAAGAACCCAAAGGAAGUGGUCUGUGUUUGGUGUCUGCUUAACCUUGGGUGAGGUUCAGCUCAGCUUUGGAGUGAUUUGCUUCUCAUGCAACUUCACAAAUAGGAUAAGGUCCACAGUAGAAACUUGGUAAAAUGGAAAAAAAAAACCCCUUGGCUUUUCAACCUUUUUUCCCUGCAAUUUGUCCUGCUUCUGAGAGAACUGAAACACUAAUCUUUAACAUUGAUUAUUUUUUUUUUCCAAAUAGUUUGAUUUCUGUGUUAGCUUAGCACAGACAUUAUUUGAGAUUAUUGUGAACUAUUUUAGAGUUCAUUAUUUUUAAGGUCUUUUUCCAGUGUUUAACACUAAGGGGUUUUCCUUUCUCUGUGUAUAUUGGGUUUUUAAUACCAAGGCAGAAUCAGUGCUUGUAGGCAAAGUUGUUUAAAUAAUUUCUUCUUUGCCAUAACAGUUUUGGUUUCUUUAAUGGUAAAAGUAAUCAUGUCUGUGUGUAUAAAACAUUGCUGUGGGUAAAGUCUGAAUCCUGGCUGUGGACUUAAAAUCUUCUUUAGCUUGGUAGCUCUAAUAGUUUAACAUUAUCACCACAUGGAGAGGAGUGAAGGACCACAAGGUGAUCUUUGGGAACAUUAUUUUCUGAAGUAUCUGACUAUUGCUAAUUCUGAAGAAAUGGAUUUUAAACCUGUUGUGUCUUAAUAUUCCUGUUUCUUGAGUUAAAAAAUGGACUAGAUUUUGUACUUUCUUCGGGACUUUUGUUUUGCUGUAGCCUUAUAAGGGUAGGAUUUGGUUCCCUGGUGGCAAAUCUGUUCGGGGAAAAAAAAAAAGUUGGUUUAUUUUAGCAAAGCUGUUUUAAAAUACUCCAACAAGCCUGGCAGGAGGCAGAAAUAGUUGUUAUUUUAUGUUAUUUCUUAGGUCUUUCUGAAAACGUCACAAAGUGCAAACCCUGUUCCUAUGGAAAACUCUUCUCCCAGUGAAAGAUUACCUCCAUUUUAAAUGAGUUAAAAAAAACCCAAAUUGUUUUCUCUGAUGCAUUUGGUGAAGGCAAAUAAUCAGGUACGUGUGCUGUGUUUAUUGCACGGAUGGUCUCACCUCUGCAAACAGUGACUGAGGUUUUGAGUGUGUCCUUCCUUCCCAAAGGUCACAAGUAAGAAAACAAACCCCUGAAAAGGACGUCUCAAGAACAGCUUAUGUUUAAAUGAAUACUUUCUGUGCUUGUGUUCACUGCUGGGGGGUUUGCAGUUCUCGUGGCUGUGCUGGUUUGUGCAAGGGUGAUGAGGAGGGAACGUGUGAGCCAUUUCAGAAGGGAACAUGGAUCUCUGUGGGCAGCUGCAGCAUGGUGCCUUCUGCUUCAGUACCUGGAGGACAGCUGAUCUUCUGUGGGACCAAACCCAGGCAUGCUCAUGUACUCUCUUUUUAUCAUGAAGGUCCUUUCUUCUGAACUAGAAAUUAACCUUGUUCCAGACAGCAGCGCACAGUUCCAGGGUCCGUUUUAAUCUAUUUUCCGUGCAGAAAUCAGUGUAAACAAGAAAUUCAUGGUGGUGCCUCCUGGUGUGUAGGCAAGAACAUUUUAACAUUGUUAGUUGCAGUGUUACGGUUGUGCUUUUCAUCUCAUUCUGGUUCUUUGUCAUCCUUCAGGAAACAGAACCACGUGUCUUCUCUCUUGUAAUAAAAGAAUGCUUUCUGAUGCCUCUCAGCUGGUGUUCCUCACUGUAUUUGACAUAGAGAGAAACAAAAGGAAGAUACAGAAGAGAAGUUGAAGAAGAAAGGAAAGACAGAGGAAAAAAUAGUGGAGAAAAUCAGAACUGAGUUGGCUUUUCUAAAAGGAGUUGUCCAGGAAGCAAAAUGAGCAGCUUCCCUCCUUUUUUUGUCUUUCUGUUUUUAGCCCAUCCCAGCUACUGCAAUUCUGAGAUAAGUGGGUCAGGCAAAAGGGCAUAAUUAAUAGUGAUUUCACAGUUGCUGUGGGUACAGGAGAGCAUAGUGGGAAGAAUGGAUUCAAGGAAAUGUUGGCAGGCUCUCAGUGGAAAGCUCCCAGCUGAGCCCCGGGUUGCCAUGCCCAUCUUCUGCCAUGAGAUUUUGUGCCAGCCAGGUGGGAGCUGGAUCAGAGUGGGAAUAGAGCAGAUGGACGCUCUACUGGAUGCUCUGGUGGAUGAAGUGCAGCACAUCUUAAGUACACUGAAUUUAGUAUGGGACAGGAUGCAUUUGUGAGAGCAGCUGGGGAAGGGAUGAAUCAACCCUUUGAAAAGCAUUGUGGGGAAACAAAGAGCUAAAUACCCUGACCAGGGGGCAUAAUGGCACAUAAUUUUUUCUGUCAGAUAUUCUGAGUUUAUUACUAAGGAGCAUUUCUUGUGUCCCACAUGCACCUCCAGUUUCUGUUACCUUGCAGUGCUUUGUUUCCUCUAGUUGGUGAUCAUGUAGCAUCAGCGAGGCUUGUGUGGGAUGUGGUGCACAUGGUCCAAGGACAGCAAUCUGUGCAUUUCUGCUGAGAAAUUAACUUGAUUUUAACAUCUGGAGAUAAGGAGAGAGCACAUGCAGAAAGUUACAGUUUGAAGGAGCUGCUGCAGAGAAACUUCAAACAGAUAUAGUGGCAUUGCUUUCAUGGAAGAUGGAUGGGCAAACCACUUGCAUUGUUCAAAUCUGCUUUCUUCAAAGUUUAAUUGUAUUUGCUUUUCUUUUCCUGAUGGAGCCAAGUUGCUGUGUCCUGGCCAGGAGAUGGUGCCAUGUUUUUGGAUGCUUGUAAAGCCCUGAUGGAUCUUUCUGAAUUCUGGUGCCUCAUCUGCUCUUGAGCAGGUGGAGCCCCUUGGAUUAAUAUUCCCAACAGUCUCUGUGUUUGAAUUACACAUGCCCAACAUCACCUACCUGUGUUUGUCACCAGAGCCUGCAAGAAAAGCUUUUUCUGUGUUGAGGAGGAAAUGCCUGAACAGCAUUCAGCACAGCCACUCUGGAAAUGGAGUUGGUGGGAGCAGCGUGUCCUUGUUGCUCAUAAAGAUUCACUUCACAUUAAAGAUCCAGCUGUGGCCUUUCAGAGCCAGCUGUUGGGAGAUGACUGAUGUGCAUCCCUUGCUGGGGAUGGGUUGGUUGUGAGGUUGGACACUUGUGCUUGCAGAAGAAAGGCGAUGUAUGGGAUGGGCACUCCCUGAUGAAGAGGGGGAGUGCAGCCCCCUUUCCCCAUCACCUUGGGAAGAUGAUGUUAUUUUUUUGCCUCCAGAAAAAUAGUAAAUUCAUGCUUUUAAAUCUGUAAAGUGCUUGGGGGUACCAACAUAUUGCAGAAUAGUUGGUUAUGUACAUCUCGUGGUUUCAGCUCUUGAAUGCAGAGGAUGAAGCAGAAACAUCUGAGGGGUUGGGUUUUUAUUUUAGAUCAAGUCUAUGUCUCAGAUUUUAGGACAUAUUAGUAAACUUCAUUCUGCUGUUUCUCCAUGUGGGUUUGAGAUUUAUGGUAUUGAACCUUUGUCCUUUUCAUUAAAGUAAAAAAGACUGUUCUCUCUGUGA